AGAGGAACUUCAAGAAUGUGUUUCACACUGUGAAGUUGUGCUUCCAGAAAAUGUUGUUCCUUGUAUGAUAAUUUAUAAGGAUGUAAAAGUGAACUUUACAUUUAAAGCGAGUGAAAAAUGAAACUGAAGAAGGAGGUUUUGUGCUGACCUUAGACCAGACAUCUGCCAGAGGAGUCACCUAGUACAAGCUCCAACCCCAUGCACAUAGUUGAAAAUGCUUUGGAAAGAAAAGUGAUAAAUUGGUUCUGGGCCACUGGAUGAUUUUCCUCAUUGUGAUGAUCUGCUAGGUGUACUUUGCAUCAGCAGUGUUGUACAGGAUGUUGGGAUCUGGUCAGCCUCUUCAAGAGAGGAAAAACUUGUAUACCUGAAAAAAGCUUGUAAGAUUUUUCAACUAAUGGAGAAAUGUAAGCAAUUUCAACUAAUGGAGAAAUUUUAGGAUUUAGAUCUUCACCGGAAGUUCUUCUUUAUGCAUUGAUAUUUAGCAAAUAUGUGACAAAUAUUUGAGUUAAUACCCUGAUUUAUGUAAUUUCUACAGAAAUUAAUUUGAAAUAUCAGUUGCAAGAUUACUUACCCACCUGCUGUCUUACUGCUUGAGAAUAAUGUUUAUGUUCCCUUUGGUCAGAUUCUUCCCUCUCUGGAGAGAACAUGUUGUAACUUCCAGGCUGAUUAUCAAUUAAACUGGAACUAAAGAG
Zonotrichia albicollis (white-throated sparrow) is the source of this 692-nucleotide non-coding RNA. The record is from RefSeq and is a predicted model, not a curated record. NCBI's taxonomy places the organism in Eukaryota, Metazoa, Chordata, Aves, Passeriformes, Passerellidae.